AGCUCUGUGGUGAAUUCUCAUAUUGAAUUGCAAAUUCAAAGAAGCAGCUUCAAUUCUGCCGGGGCUUC
RNAcentral lists this transfer RNA (68 nucleotides) under Spilogale gracilis (western spotted skunk). RNAcentral describes it as "tRNA-Cys". It matches the Rfam family "tRNA". Rfam says of the family: Transfer RNA (tRNA) molecules are approximately 80 nucleotides in length. Their secondary structure includes four short double-helical elements and three loops (D, anti-codon, and T loops). Further hydrogen bonds mediate the characteristic L-shaped molecular structure. tRNAs have two regions of fundamental functional importance: the anti-codon, which is responsible for specific mRNA codon recognition, and the 3' end, to which the tRNAs corresponding amino acid is attached (by aminoacyl-tRNA synthetases). tRNAs cope with the degeneracy of the genetic code in two manners: having more than one tRNA (with a specific anti-codon) for a particular amino acid; and 'wobble' base-pairing, i.e. permitting non-standard base-pairing at the 3rd anti-codon position. The record is from RNAcentral. Lineage: Eukaryota; Metazoa; Chordata; Mammalia; Carnivora; Mephitidae.